CCCCAACGCACAGAGCGCACUGCUGGCAAUCGCCUUGUGCAAGUGAGACACGCUUAAAUAGCAUCUCUCCCUCCAUAACGCAGCGUGGCAUUUUCGCAGACGUCGCCCCAGAGUUUCCCAACGGGGCCCUAUUCCAGAAAGGAUCUCAGAGACCCGCCAAGAUUUCGGUAUGCUGCCGGAGCAUUGCAGAGGCCUCACAGAAAUAAAGCAAUUUGAUUGCUUCAGACGGACAAGCAAAGCCUGGGGCAUCCUGAAGGACACUGGAGAGAGGUGGAGACUGGCCACUCUUGCCCAAGCAAGAAGACCUGGAAAAUUCUUGUUUGGCCUUGCCAGGGUUGCUAUUUCUGGACUUUUAAUGGUGCAAAGCUUUCUGAUGAUGCCCUGUCCCAGAAGGUGGCCCACACUGGGUAAUGUGGCAACCGCCUUCAAGGCAACUGACUCCUUGUACCCAGAGCCCAGGCAGGGAGCAGAGACCAGCCUGAAUGAGAUGAUCCAGCCAGCAAAGAGAAGAGCCAGUCCAGCUGGCAGCCCUUUUCCAGUGCUACUUCCACAUGGCUCUGAGGGCAUCCAAAAGCUUUUAAGAAUGUGCAGGCCUGUCUGCAAGCCUUCCCAAGCUCUCUCAGCCCCUGCAGUGAGCCGCAAAGCUUCCAUAUCAAGCUAGGAGUUUGUGAUCCUCCCUAGCUGCUUUUCUUCCAGGGAAGAUUUUCAGGAAAACAAUCGCUCCCCAGAUGUAGCAUCCCAUGCCCUUUUCAGCUGCCCUUUCUCAAAGCAGCAGGGAAGGUCCUGUUUCUUUCUCUUUGUCACAAGCAUAUCUGCAGCAUUGCUCCUCCAUUGCCACCCAGCCCAAUCCCUCACUCUCUAGUCAACAUUUUCCCUCCUGCUACAGGGCAGGAUUAGCAACCCCUCACCACACUGGCAUGGAUUCAUAACAACAGGGAACACUGAUGUGGUUACCAGAGGAGAAGAAACCCCAUACCCAGCAACAGGUCUGUGCCAGUGCCAUACCCACAUGGAUGCAUCACAGCCUACUCCUAUGGCCCUACAUUUCCACAUGCUUAUACAAGCAAGGGAAGAACAGGAGACAACACAUCUUACAUGAGAAUGAUUUUGACCUGCACAGAACAGGACAAACCAGGAUUUAGACUUUCCCAAAAUAAACAAGACUUACCAGUGCUCA
This 1177-nucleotide long non-coding RNA is filed under the name Struthio camelus australis. RNAcentral describes it as "lncRNA (ENSSCUG00000015451.1)". The record is from RNAcentral. Lineage: Eukaryota; Metazoa; Chordata; Aves; Struthioniformes; Struthionidae.